Molecule: small RNA, 22 nt
Filed under: Arabidopsis thaliana (thale cress)
Lineage: Eukaryota; Viridiplantae; Streptophyta; Magnoliopsida; Brassicales; Brassicaceae
Description: Ath_wt_04458
Source: RNAcentral
UCAGCGGACUGCUCGAGCUGCU